AGCGAACGCUGGCGGCAUGCCUAACACAUGCAAGUCGCACGGGGGGGCUUCGGCCUCCCAGUGGCGGACGGGUGAGGAACGCGUAGGGACCUGUCGAGGGGUGGGGGAUAACCGCGGGAAACUGCGGCUAAUACCGCAUGACGCCGCGGCGUGACAGCCGGGGCCAAAGGCGAAAGCCGCCCGCCGAGGGGCCUGCGUCCGAUUAGCUGGUUGGCGGGGUAGCGGCCCACCAAGGCGUCGAUCGGUAGCUGGUCUGAGAGGGUGAUCAGCCACACCGGGACUGAGACACGGCCCGGACUCCUACGGGAGGGAGCAGUGGGGAAUAUUGGACAGUGGGCGCAAGCAUGAUCCAGCAAGGCCGCGUGGGUGAAGAAGGUCUUCGGAUUGUAAAGCCCUUUCGGCGGGGACGAUGGUGACGGUACCCGCAGAAGAAGCCCCGGCUAACUUCGUG
This 451-nucleotide ribosomal RNA is filed under the name uncultured bacterium. RNAcentral describes it as "partial 16S ribosomal RNA". It matches the Rfam family "Bacterial small subunit ribosomal RNA", at positions 28 to 507 of the family's 1533-position model. The record is from RNAcentral.